Molecule: ribosomal RNA, 466 nt
Filed under: Nucleariidae sp.
Lineage: Eukaryota; Rotosphaerida; Nucleariidae
Description: SSU rRNA
Rfam family: Eukaryotic small subunit ribosomal RNA
Source: RNAcentral
CCUUAACCUGCUAAAUAGUAACGCGAACUCAGCCUGUGGGCUCUCGGGUCCAUAGGUGGUUCUGCGGCUAACUUCUUAGAGGGACUGUCGGUGUUUAACCGACGGAAGUUUGAGGCAAUAACAGGUCUGUGAUGCCCUUAGAUGUCCUGGGCUGCACGCGCGCUACACUGAUGAAGUCAGCGAGUUUAUAACCUUGUUCGGAAGGACAUUUUUUUGGGUAAUCUUCUGAAACUUCAUCGUGCUGGGGAUAGAUCAUUGCAAUUAUUGAUCUUCAACGAGGAAUUCCUAGUAAGCGCGAGUCAUCAGCUCGCGUUGAUUACGUCCCUGCCCUUUGUACACACCGCCCGUCGCUACUACCGAUUGAAUGGUUUAGUGAGAUCUUUGGACUGGCGCAACACAGCUGUCUGACAGCAGUGAUGCACUGGGAAGCUGAUCAAACUUGAUCAUUUAGAGGAAGUAAAAGUCG